UGCCACAGCCAUAUCACCCUGCAGCCCAAGACUGGUUGCCCACUGAAGCUAAGCAGGGUUGAGCCUGGUCAGUACCUGGACGGGAGACCUCCUGGGAAAACUAGGUUGCUGUUGGAA
RNAcentral lists this ribosomal RNA (117 nucleotides) under Sinocyclocheilus anshuiensis. Lineage: Eukaryota; Metazoa; Chordata; Actinopteri; Cypriniformes; Cyprinidae. The record is from RNAcentral.